Long non-coding RNA from Gopherus evgoodei (Goodes thornscrub tortoise), 182 nucleotides. RefSeq lists it as uncharacterized. The transcript has 3 exons. The record is from RefSeq and is a predicted model, not a curated record. NCBI's taxonomy places the organism in Eukaryota, Metazoa, Chordata, Testudines, Testudinidae.
AACUCUCUAUUGUGAAAGUAUUCUAAUGCUGUGAUGUGAAAACUUAGUAUAGAAAACUACACUUACAGAUUUACACUAAAUACGUUUGGAUGUAAGCGACAAUUAGUGCUUUGGUUAAAGUAUCAGGUGUUUUUCAGCAGUAAAAUUAGUGGUGGCUUCCUUGAAUGAUAGUAUUUGUUAGA